GUGGGGAAUCUUGCGCAAUGGGCGAAAGCCUGACGCAGCCAUGCCGCGUGAAUGAUGAAGGUCUUAGGAUUGUAAAAUUCUUUCACCGGGGACGAUAAUGACGGUACCCGGAGAAGAAGCUCCGGCUAACUUCGUGCCAGCAGCCGCGGUAAUACGAAGGGGGCUAGCGUUGCUCGGAAUUACUGGGCGUAAAGGGCGCGUAGGCGGACAGCUUAGUCAGAGGUGAAAGCCCAGGGCUCAACCUUGGAAUUGCCUUUGAUACUGGCUGUCUUGAGUUUGGGAGAGGUGAGUGGAACUCCGAGUGUAGAGGUGAAAUUCGUAGAUAUUCGGAAGAACACCAGUGGCGAAGGCGACUCACUGGCCCGUUACUGACGCUGAGGCGCGAAUGCGUGGGGAGCAAACAGGAUUAGAAACCCUUGUAGUCC
RNAcentral lists this ribosomal RNA (425 nucleotides) under uncultured bacterium. RNAcentral's name for it is "partial 16S ribosomal RNA". It matches the Rfam family "Bacterial small subunit ribosomal RNA", at positions 354 to 796 of the family's 1533-position model. The record is from RNAcentral.